GAUGAACGCUGGCGGCGUGCCUAAUACAUGCAAGUCGAGCGAACGGACGAGAAGCUUGCUUUUCUGAUGUUAGCGGCGGACGGGUGAGUAACACGUGGAUAACCUACCUAUAAGACUGGGAUAACUUCGGGAAACCGGAGCUAAUACCGGAUAAUCUUUUGAACCGCAUGGUUCAAAAGUGAAAGACGGUCUUGCUGUCACUUAUAGAUGGAUCCGCGCUGCAUUAGCUAGUUGGUAAGGUCACGGCUUACCAAGGCAACGAUGCAUAGCCGACCUGAGAGGGUGAUCGGCCACACUGGAACUGAGACACGGUCAAGACUCCUACGGGAGGCAGCAGUAGGGAAUCGUACGCAAUGGGCGAAAGCCUGACGGAGCAACGCCGAGUGAGUGAUGAAGGUCUUCGGAUCGGAAAACUCUGUUAUUAGGGAAGAACAUAUGUGUAAGUAACUGUGCACAGCUUGACGGUAACUAAUCAGAAAGCCACGGCUAACUACGUG
This 497-nucleotide ribosomal RNA is filed under the name uncultured bacterium. RNAcentral describes it as "partial 16S ribosomal RNA". It matches the Rfam family "Bacterial small subunit ribosomal RNA", at positions 28 to 507 of the family's 1533-position model. The record is from RNAcentral.